This is a long non-coding RNA of Alosa sapidissima (American shad), 1030 nucleotides long. RefSeq lists it as uncharacterized. The record is from RefSeq and is a predicted model, not a curated record. NCBI's taxonomy places the organism in Eukaryota, Metazoa, Chordata, Actinopteri, Clupeiformes, Clupeidae. The transcript is spliced from 3 exons.
GACCAAUCUCAGGCGAAAAUUUGCUCCAUGGUCUCCAGGCUGCCUUAGCAGCUUGAAUCAAAUCUCGCGCAAGGCAGCAUGGGAACACCCAGGCUAGUGGCUAACUUGGGACCAAGCACUGAUCUAUGCUGACAACUGUGAGGGGGGUGAUUUUUUUUUUUUUUUUUUUUUUUCUAACUCAUUAGUUUAGAUCACAUUUAGAUAUAAAAUAGAUGAAUAAUUAAGGGCGUGGUCGGCUUGAUUGACGACUGACGUCGAGGCAUACAGCAGCAGACGUUGCCAGCUGAGUGGAAAGUGGAAACCCUGAAACUUUGACGUCUCAGCCAUGAUUAUACACAAAGUUACCACAUCCUUUCUGAACAUCUUUAUUCAAAAAGCUGACAUAAAAUGGUUUGCUAAGCUAUUAAUUGAAGCCUACUAACCGACACUUUCAGAAGACUUCGUUCCAGUUUUUUCAGUUUCCCUGUAGGUAAUCCAGACAGGCUGGGUGCUGGAGAGGGCUCUGGACUCCUAACUUCAAUUCUCGUCUGUGCAGUCAACACUCGGAAGCAUCACUUCAGCACUGAUUCCAUGAUCUGGAACAUUUUGAAAUCCUACCAGAUGGGGCAGAAGUCAUUGAGCAGUGGCAGCUUCUGAUUUCAAGGACUUUGUUCACCUUUAUUUACAGCAUUUGCAUCUGUGUCUUUAAAGUGAUCUAAUAUGUAUUGACUAUGAACUAGCUUAGUACAUAUUAGUUUUUGUUAUUUUAGUUUCACAAAUUCAGUGGUUACCUGUAAUGCUCAAGAUAUACAAGUAAAAAAUCACCUUUACUUCUGCAUCUGGGUCUUCAAUUCAACCUACUGACUGAAGCUGACUGAUUUGAAUAAUUGUUUUUGAAAGCACAGGCAAAUUGGUUUGGCAUGAGUUUUAAUGUAAUUCAGUUCAGAAAAGUUCCAUAAACAUUUCCAAGUGCAAGUUCAGUGCCAUCAACAGUAAGUUUGCUUUCUGAUAUUUAAAGAACAGAAAUGGGUUUGGCAUAAGUAAAGGGCAG